Molecule: ribosomal RNA, 2864 nt
Filed under: human metagenome
Description: bacterial LSU rRNA
Rfam family: Bacterial large subunit ribosomal RNA
Source: RNAcentral
AGUGCAUGUGGUGGAUGCCUUGGCGAUUACAGGCGAUGAAGGACGUUGUAGCCUGCGAUAAGCCGCGGGGAGCUGGCAAACAAGCUUUGAUCCGCGGAUGUCCGAAUGGGGAAACCCACCCGCAAGGGUAUCGCUGACUGAAUCCAUAGGUCAGCGAGGCGAACGUGGCGAACUGAAACAUCUAAGUAGCCACAGGAAAAGAAAUCAACCGAGAUUCCGAAAGUAGUGGCGAGCGAAAUCGGAGCAGCCUGUGCGUGAUAGUCGAUUGGCUAGUGGAACGGUAUGGAAAGGCCGGCCAUAGAGGGUGAUAGCCCCUUACACGAAAGCGAAUCGGUGGUACUGAGCGUACGACAAGUAGGGCGGGACACGUGUAAUCCUGUCUGAAGAUGGGGGGACCAUCCUCCAAGGCUAAAUACUCGUAAUCGACCGAUAGUGAACAAGUACUGUGAAGGAAAGGCGAAAAGAACCCCGGGAGGGGAGUGAAAUAGAUCCUGAAACCGCAUGCAUACAAACAGUCGGAGCCUCGCAAGGGGUGACGGCGUACCUUUUGUAUAAUGGGUCAGCGACUUACAUUCAGUGGCAAGCUUAACCAGAUAGGGGAGGCGCAGGGAAACCGAGUCCGAACAGGGCGCCAUAGUCGCUGGGUGUAGACCCGAAACCAGGUGAUCUAUCCAUGGUCAGGAUGAAGGUUGGGUAACACCAGCUGGAGGUCCGAACCGACUAAUGUUGCAAAAUUAGCGGAUGAACUGUGGAUAGGGGUGAAAGGCUAAUCAAACCUGGAAAUAGCUGGUUCUCCCCGAAAACUAUUUAGGUAGUGCGUCAUGUAUUGCUCCAGGGGGUAGAGCACUGUAAUGGUUGUGGGGGCCAUCGCGGCUUACCACGCCAUAGCAAACUCCGAAUACCUGGAAGUAUGAGCAUGGCAGACAGUCGCCGGGUGCUAACGUCCGGCGGCAAGAGGGAAACAACCCAGACCUACAGCUAAGGUCCCAAAGUGUGGCUAAGUGGGAAACGAAGUGGGAAGGCUAAAACAGUCAGGAUGUUGGCUUAGAAGCAGCCAUCAUUUAAAGAAAGCGUAAUAGCUCACUGAUCGAGUCGUCCUGCGCGGAAGAUGUAACGGGGCUAAGCCAUGCACCGAAGCUUAGGCUGCACUCUCUGAGUGCGGGGUAGGGGAGCGUUCUGUAAGCCUGUGAAGGUGUCUCGUAAGGGAUGCUGGAGGUAUCAGAAGUGCGAAUGCUGACAUGAGUAGCGUUAAAGCGGGUGAAAAGCCCGCUCGCCGUAAGCGCAAGGUUUCCUACGCAACGUUCAUCGGCGUAGGGUGAGUCGGCCCCUAAGGUGAGGGCGAAAGCCAUAGCUGAUGGGAAGCUGGUUAAUAUUCCAGCACCGAUUUCUAGUGCGAUGGGGGGACGGAUCGUGGAAGGUUGUCCGGGUGUUGGAAGUCCCGGUUCCUGACCUGUAGGUGUCUGGUAGGUAAAUCCGCCAGGCAUAUGCCGAGGGGUUGGGACGAGCGAGCUUGCUCGCGAAGCAACUGGAAGUGGUUCCAAGAAAAGCCUCUAAGCUUCAGCUGGAAAUCGACCGUACCGCAAACCAACACUGGUGCGCGAGAUGAGUAUUCUCAGGCGCUUGAGAGAACUCGGGAGAAGGAACUCGGCAAAUUGACACCGUAACUUCGGAAGAAGGUGUGCCUUGGUAGCUUGAGUGUGAACAACACAAGGGCGAAGAGGUUGCAAAGAAUAGGUGGCUGCGACUGUUUAUUAAAAACACAGCACUCUGCAAACACGAAAGUGGACGUAUAGGGUGUGACGCCUGCCCGGUGCCGGAAGGUUAAGUGAUGGGGUGCAAGCUCUUGAUCGAAGCCCCGGUAAACGGCGGCCGUAACUAUAACGGUCCUAAGGUAGCGAAAUUCCUUGUCGGGUAAGUUCCGACCUGCACGAAUGGCGUAACGAUGGCCACACUGUCUCCUCCCGAGACUCAGCGAAGUUGAAAUGUUUGUGAUGAUGCAAUCUCCCCGCAGCUAGACGGAAAGACCCCAUGAACCUUUACUGUAGCUUUGCAUUGGAUUGCGAACCGACUUGUGUAGGAUAGGUGGGAGGCUUUGAAGUCAGGACGCCAGUCUUGAUGGAGCCAUCCUUGAAAUACCACCCUGGUUUGUUCGCGGUUCUAACCUAGGCCCGUCAUCCGGGCCGGAGACAGUGCAUGGUGGGCAGUUUGACUGGGGCGGUCUCCUCCUAAAGAGUAACGGAGGAGUUCGAAGGUACGCUUGGUACGGUCGGACAUCGUGCCUAAAGUGCAAUGGCAAAAGCGUGCUUAACUGCGAGACUGACAAGUCGAGCAGGUGCGAAAGCAGGACAUAGUGAUCCGGUGGUUCUGUAUGGAAGGGCCAUCGCUCAACGGAUAAAAGGUACUCUGGGGAUAACAGGCUGAUACCGCCCAAGAGUUCAUAUCGACGGCGGUGUUUGGCACCUCGAUGUCGGCUCAUCUCAUCCUGGGGCUGUAGCCGGUCCCAAGGGUAUGGCUGUUCGCCAUUUAAAGAGGUACGUGAGCUGGGUUUAAAACGUCGUGAGACAGUUUGGUCCCUAUCUGCUGUGGGCGUUGGAGAUUUGACGGGGGCUGCUCCUAGUACGAGAGGACCGGAGUGGACACACCUCUGGUGUACCUGUUGUCACGCCAGUGGCAUCGCAGGGUAGCUAAGUGUGGAAGAGAUAACCGCUGAAAGCAUCUAAGCGGGAAACUUGCCUGAAGAUGAGAUCUCCCUGGGGACUCGAUCCCCCUGAAGGGUCGUCCAAGACCAGGACGUUGAUAGGCCGGGUGUGGAAGCGCAGUAAUGCGUGCAGCUAACCGGUACUAAUUGCCCGUGAGGCUUGACC